This 253-nucleotide ribosomal RNA is filed under the name uncultured bacterium. RNAcentral describes it as "partial 16S ribosomal RNA". It matches the Rfam family "Bacterial small subunit ribosomal RNA", at positions 524 to 776 of the family's 1533-position model. The record is from RNAcentral.
UACGUAGGGGGCAAGCGUUGUCCGGAUUUACUGGGCGUAAAGAGCGCGCAGGCGGCCAAGUCAGUCGAAUGUGAAAGCCCCCGGCUUAACUGGGGAGGGUCAUUCGAUACUGCUCGGCUCGAAGACAGGAGAGGGAAGCGGAAUUCCCGGUGUAGUGGUGAAAUGCGUAGAGAUGGGGGAGAACACUCGUGGCGAAGGCGGCCAGCUAGACCAGUUCUGACACUGAGGCGCGACAGCGUGGGGAGCAAACAGG